Molecule: ribosomal RNA, 514 nt
Rfam family: 5.8S ribosomal RNA (bases 151-304)
GACAUACCUCAACUGUUGCUUCGGCGGGUAGUCGUCCCCUGAAAAGGACGUCUCCCGGCCCCCUCCCGUCCGCGGGUGGGGCGCCCGCCGGAGGAUAACCAAACUCUGAUUUAACGACGUUUCUUCUGAGUGACACAAGCAAAUAAUCAAAACUUUUAACAACGGAUCUCUUGGUUCUGGCAUCGAUGAAGAACGCAGCGAAAUGCGAUAAGUAAUGUGAAUUGCAGAAUUCAGUGAAUCAUCGAAUCUUUGAACGCACAUUGCGCCCGCCAGCAUUCUGGCGGGCAUGCCUGUUCGAGCGUCAUUUCAACCCUCAAGCUCUGCUUGGUGUUGGGGCUCUACGGUUGACGUAGGCCCUCAAAGGUAGUGGCGGACCCUCCCGGAGCCUCCUUUGCGUAGUAACAUUUCGUCUCGCAUUGGGAUUCAGAGGGACUCUUGCCGUAAAACCCCCAAUUUAUCUAAGGUUGACCUCGGAUCAGGUAGGAAUACCCGCUGAACUUAAGCAUAUCAAUAA